This 73-nucleotide transfer RNA is filed under the name Caudoviricetes sp. RNAcentral describes it as "tRNA-Asn". It matches the Rfam family "tRNA". Rfam says of the family: Transfer RNA (tRNA) molecules are approximately 80 nucleotides in length. Their secondary structure includes four short double-helical elements and three loops (D, anti-codon, and T loops). Further hydrogen bonds mediate the characteristic L-shaped molecular structure. tRNAs have two regions of fundamental functional importance: the anti-codon, which is responsible for specific mRNA codon recognition, and the 3' end, to which the tRNAs corresponding amino acid is attached (by aminoacyl-tRNA synthetases). tRNAs cope with the degeneracy of the genetic code in two manners: having more than one tRNA (with a specific anti-codon) for a particular amino acid; and 'wobble' base-pairing, i.e. permitting non-standard base-pairing at the 3rd anti-codon position. Lineage: Duplodnaviria; Heunggongvirae; Uroviricota; Caudoviricetes. The record is from RNAcentral.
UGGUCCAUAGCUCAGUUGGUAGAGCGGCUGGCUGUUAACCAGCGUGUCGUAGGUUCGAGUCCUACUGGAUCAG